CCUACGCGAGGCAGCAGUGGGGAAUAUUGGACAAUGGGGGGAACCCUGAUCCAGCGACGCCGCGUGAGUGAAUAAGUAUUUCGGUAUGUAAAGCUCUAUCAGCAGGGAAGAAAGCAAUGACGGUACCUGACUAAGAAGCCCCGCGUAACUACGUGCCAGCAGCCGCUGUAAUACGUAGGGGGCAAGCGUUACCCGGAUUUACUGGGUGUAAAGCGAGCGUAGACGGCGAUGCAAGUAUGAAGUGAAAGGCGGGGGCCCAACCUCCGGACUGCUUUGGAAACUGUAUGGCUGGAGUGCAGGAGAGGUAAGUGGAAUUCCUAGUGUAGCGGUGAAAUGCGUAGAUAUUAGGAGGAACACCAGUGGCGAAGGCGGCUUACUGGACUGUAACUGACGUUGAGGCUCGAAAGCGUGGGGAGCAAACAGGAUUAGAUACCCGAGUAGUC
RNAcentral lists this ribosomal RNA (443 nucleotides) under uncultured bacterium. Its description in RNAcentral is "partial 16S ribosomal RNA". It matches the Rfam family "Bacterial small subunit ribosomal RNA", at positions 338 to 795 of the family's 1533-position model. The record is from RNAcentral.